GUGAGGAAUAUUGGUCAAUGGGCGGGAGCCUGAACCAGCCAAGUCGCGUGAAGGAAGAAGGAUCUAUGGUUCGUAAACUUCUUUUGCAGGGGAAUAAAGUGCAGGACGUGUCCUGUUUUGUAUGUACCCUGAGAAUAAGGAUCGGCUAACUCCGUGCCCGCAGCCGCGGUAAUACGGAGGAUCCGAGCGUUAUCCGGCUUUAUUGGUUUUAAAGGGUGCGUAGGUGGUUUGAUAAGUCAGCGGUGAAAGUUUGCAGCUUAACUGUAAAAAUGCCGUUGAAACUGUCGGACUUGAGUGUAAAUGAGGUAGGCGGAAUGCGUGGUGUAGCGGUGAAAUGCAUAGAUAUCACGCAGAACUCCGAUUGCGAAGGCAGCUUACUAAGCUACAACUGACACUGAAGCACGAAAGCGUGGGGAUCAAACAGGAUUAGAUACCCGUGUAGUCC
This 445-nucleotide ribosomal RNA is filed under the name uncultured bacterium. RNAcentral describes it as "partial 16S ribosomal RNA". It matches the Rfam family "Bacterial small subunit ribosomal RNA", at positions 354 to 796 of the family's 1533-position model. The record is from RNAcentral.